CCCAACAAUUGACCCAUCCUCUAGCCCCAGUCUUGAUAACAUUGAGGAGUAGUGGUCGGCAUUUUAUUUAAAACAAAAAACAAAAAAACAUUAACUGAGAUUUCAUGUUUAUCUUACAGGUUGCCUUGAGAAAUGAAUAUGUUUUGGGAAAGAAGAUUCCGUUAGUGAACUGGCUUUGUCAUAAAAGCCUAUCAUGGCUACGGGUGCCGAUGUGACUCAUGACUGCAGAGGUAAACCUUGAACACCUUACCGAGGGAGCUGGUUUCCGCACUGUAAACAUUGCUCAUCUUUCACACACUUGGAAGAAAGCCAUUAUCUACAGGCCACCCUUCCAGAAAAUAAUCAGUGACGGAGUUUCGUUCUUUGCGGCUGAAGAAAACGUGAUUGUGUAUACACCCUGAGCUAAAGUGGCUGACAGCACCUCACCAGUCCUGACCUUGCCUUCUACAAAACCCCAGUGUCAUGACAGUAUUUGAUGGCCUUGAGCAUUCUAUGAACUUGAGCCCAAACCUGACUGAGCAGCCUAGAGACUCCUGAAGAACAGAAGCGGAUGCUGCAGAUAUUUCUAUUGAGCUCACUAGUGGAGUCAACCAUCUGGAAAGCAUCAAGCCUCACCCCACUGAGAUUCUGAGAUUUCAGUCCAUUAUCAUCAAGCAUGGCAGCGUCCAAGCAGGCAUCGUGCAGGAGGAACUGAGAGUUCUACAUCUUCAUCUGGAGGCUGCUAGGAGAAGACUGGCUUCCAGGCAGCUAGGAAGAAGUCAUGAUGCUGUUAUGAAGAGUUUAAUCUCAAGAGAACAGUCACUCUCCAGAGCCACAGAGGUCUCUUCCUUAUCUAAUGGCCUGGCCUUCCUAUUCGAAGGUUAUAGCAGGAAGAGCUUCAGUUGGGAAACAGCUGUUGAUAAGAUUUUCACUAGAAGGUUUUUUUGGGAGGAGAAACCCAACCCACUCACUUGAUGGGUAUACACGGUCAAUGAACACUUGGGAGUUUGCACGUGGUGGGCAAGGCGUUGAGUAUGUAAACUAAGAGGCUCAGAGCCGUGCUUCAGCCUGCUCUCAAGGACUGGGAAGACAGGAGGAGUGGCAGACAAGCCAAGGGAUGAGCUUGCAAGCAGCCAUGAUAGCAUGCCAGUGUGAGACAGUGUGAGAACAGAAGUUUGUAAUGGAAAAUGAGGCUCUUAAGCCUCGCAGUCUUAUUAGUUCCUGGUUUUUAAGUGGUGGCCCCUAAACACACAAUACAAUGACUGUCGUUCUUCUCUGACUUGUGUGUCUUUUUAAAGGACUUCUAGUACAAGGAGUAAUCAUUACCUUUAUUCUGAUCUUGGGGGAAGAUUUCCAUUUUCAUCAUGACGGUGUCAGCAAUCAUCAUUUGGUAAAUGUUCCUUAAUGAUUUAUGGGGGUUUCCCUUCCUCUGCAGAAUGGGUUUUGGAUUUUGUCAAAUUGAAAUGAUCAUGUGGGAUUUUUCUCCCUUAGC
Rattus norvegicus (Norway rat) is the source of this 1471-nucleotide long non-coding RNA. RefSeq lists it as uncharacterized. The record is from RefSeq and is a predicted model, not a curated record. Lineage: Eukaryota; Metazoa; Chordata; Mammalia; Rodentia; Muridae.